This is an RNA transcript of Eucalyptus grandis, 5063 nucleotides long. It is a transcript of the gene named probable disease resistance protein At4g27220, with no coding region annotated. The record is from RefSeq and is a predicted model, not a curated record. The transcript is spliced from 5 exons. NCBI's taxonomy places the organism in Eukaryota, Viridiplantae, Streptophyta, Magnoliopsida, Myrtales, Myrtaceae.
GUACACAUUCACCUAACCUUCUGCCUUUUCCCAAGCCAGAUCUCGAUCAUUUCUUCGCCAGCAAACCUUUUUUUGUCUGAAUACCAUGGCCUCUUGCUUUUUGCUCCCGUGAAAAUUGCACAGUGGCAGAUAAAGCCAACCCUUGGUCGGAUUCUGGGAUGGUAAUCGCGAUCUGUGCCUCAGAAUUUCAAGAGCAGCUUUAGUUCUUCUUCUGGGGAAAAUGCCCAAAGAGAAGGACUCCUUUCGGGAGUAUGUAGAGUUCCUGCAGAACAAGAAGUGGAAGUGUAACUUCUGCAACAAGGAGUAUGGCGGAAGCGUGACCAGGAUCAAGGCCCACUUAGCCGGAGUUGGAGGAUACGGGAUUCAUGGCUGCAACGUCGUCAAUAGCGAAGUGAGAUCAGAAGCCCAAAAAGCAUUAAAGGGUAAAGGACCAGUGGAGUCCAGGAACGGACCAGAAGGCAAUGCCUUGGGGUCAUCGUACUCUCGUUUUAUCAGUUCUAGCAUUACACAGGGUCCACAUCAGCCCGUGACUGUAAGCGAUGAAGAUGCUUGCAGAGAGACUUCAUUCACUGCCAUGCUGAACCCGAGCUUUGAUGUCAUAAGUGCUGUAGGUAUAGGUUCAUCAGCCUCCAUUCCAUUGCACGAGACGAAUGUGCCCAGUCAGUCUCUUCUUGCUCAAAACAUGAUCUCACAGAGGGACUUUUCAUCCUAUACACAACACCCUCAAUCUCAAGUUGGUUAUUCUAUUCGGCCGUGGAAUUUGAGUUAUCCCAGCAGUAGCAGAGACCUCGCAUCCGAAGCUUUGAUUAACAUGCCUGGCCCAGUAAAUGCUGAAGAUGGAGAACCCAAUACAGAGGUUCCACAAGAUGUGAGGACAGAUGAUGCACUCGUGCAUAGUCGACCGAGUAGUUGUGGGCUUGUCGACCAGAAUACGCCAACUUGGAAAAGAAAGCUGGAAGAACUAAGCAAUCGAGAAGCAGACAUGGAUGAGUUGGAGGCGUGGUGUCGGAAAGCAGAAAGGAUAAAAGGAGAAUAUUGGAGUAUGGUCCAAGCAUACCGAGAAGGUAGAUCUCUUGCUCCACAGCAGAUAAAAAGAGUGGAUGACUUUAGCAAAGAAGUUGAAGAUAUUCUAGGCCAUUGUGGUUUCCGAAAAGGGUCGACGACACAUGCUACAGGAUGUAGGAAAAGUUCACCCCUGGUAACAACAGAGCUUGUAGGUGAAAAAAGUGAGAAGACAAUCGAAGAGAUUUGUGCCUAUUUAAUGAAGGAUGAUAUUUUCAUCAUUGGCAUUUAUGGAAUGAGGGGGAUUGGGAAGACAGCCAUUUUAAUGCAUGUCCAUAAUAGAAUACUAGAGAAUCCUGCCUUCAAUGAUGUAUUCUGGAUUACUGUACCUCGUAAGUUUAGCGUGUACGAACUACAAGACGAGAUUGCCAAUGCAGUCGGACUAGAAAAUCUCUCAAAAGAUAAGGAUGUGAAGAGGAGGGCGUGCACAUUGAAUAGGUAUAUGAAGGAGAAGAGAGCUGUCUUAAUUUUAGAUGACCUGUGGAUGCAUUUCAAGAUUGAGGAUGUGGGAAUUCCAAUUGAAGGUGCCCUUAAGCUGGUAUUGACAACUCAAUCACUAGAUGUGUGUCAUAAGAUGCUCUGCCAAGAGAAUAUAAAAAUAAAUCUUCUAGAUUCGUUAGAUAGGUGGAGCUUAUUUGAAGAGAAACUUCAUUUUGGGGGAGCACUUCCUUUAAAAAUUGAAGAAAUUGCUUAUUCCAUUGUGAAUGAGUGUGGGGGUUUGCCACUUGGGAUCAUUGAGAUUGCAACUAGCAUGAGGGGAAUAUGGGAAGUGCACAAAUGGAAAGGCAUGUUGCAGAAAUUAAUAGACUUGAACGUGGAACUUGAUGUUUUCAAGAGAUUGAAACUCAGUUACAUGAAUUUGGGUGAUUCUCAAGUGCAACAAUGUUUCUUGCAUUUAUUAUUUUGUUUUAAAUUUCAAGGAUUUCAUCCAAAUAAUACAAAGUUGAUAGAGUCAUUCAUAGAUGAGGGCUUGCUAGGUGGAAUUGGCAACCGGCAAGAAUUGCAUGACCAGGGUUACUCCGUAUUGGACAAAUUAAGAAAUAGUUGCCUAUGGGAUGAUACUAAAGAAGAAGAAGAGUAUUCAAUUCCACACACAUUGAUGAGAGGCAUGGCAUUGCAUAUAGUGAAAAGCACUACUCACAUGGUCAAGGCCUAUAUGGGAUUGAAAGAAAUUCCAGAGGAAGAAUUCUGGACCUAUCAUCUAGAGAAAGUCUUUUUACAAGGUAACUAUAUAAAAGAAAUCCCAUACGGCAUAUCGCCAAAUUGCCCUCAACUUACGAGGCUAUCCUUAAAUGACAAUGUCUCUUUGGAAGCCAUCCAUGAAUCUUUCUUCAAGCAUCUGAAGGGGUUAAAGGUUCUAGAUCUCAGCAACACCGCAAUCACAAAAUUACCGGACCCUAUCACUCAUCUCGAGAGCUUGGAAGCACUGUUACUUCGAGAGUGUGAGAAAUUAUAUUUUAUACCUAGUGUACGAAAGUUGGGAUCCCUUAAAAAGUUGGACCUAAAUGGGUGUGCAAUGCUUGAAGAAGUGCCAGAGGGGAUGGAGAUGUUGGUAAAAUUGACCUACCUCGACCUAGUUCACACAAUGAUCAAGACGUUACCAGAAGGAGUGUUGCGGAAUAUGGUGAACUUGCAAUAUCUUGCGAGUCAACUGUUGAGGGUAGGGGAAGAGGCAAAAUUAAAAAGGGUGGAAAUACUCUAUUGCGCUGCUCCAAAUGUUGAAGCAUUGAAUGCAUGGGUGAGGUUUCUCGAGCAAAACAGCUCCCGAUGUUAUCAACUGGAGUUGAAUGUAUCUACAUACGACCCCUUUAGGCAUCCUAGGAAGAGGAGUAUAAUAAUCAAAAGUUGCCAUAGUAUUGCAGCAAUGGUAGACAGAGAAAUUAGUGGGGAUGGCCAUGCUCUACUUCCGAAAAAUGUGGAAGUGCUAAAAGUUGGACAAUGCGGUGGGCUGACUAGCUUGUGCAAGGUAGGCCCAUUGGAGAAUCUAAAGGAGCUGGAGAUAGAGGGAUGGGAGAAGUUGGAGGAGUUGGGUGCUGUCCACUUCCCUAACCUACAAAAACUGAAGAUCAUUAGGUGUUCCAAAUUAAAGCAUCCCUUUGAGGAGAUGCAGGGGCUUCCAUGCCUACAAUGGUUUGAAAUCAGGGACUUGGAGGAACUAGAGGGGAUUAAUAUAGUGGUACCUAGUCUCAAUUUUUUUUUUGUGGAAAAGUGUCCUAAAAUGAAGAGAGUGGUGGAAUGGGAGUGGCUGGCCACUUGCCUUCCAAAUCUGAACCUCAUUAGCAUAUAUGAUUGCGAGAAAUUAGAGGAGAUAAUAGGUGGGCCAGUGCCAAGUGGUGCCACUUGUCUUAUUACAAUGUUAACAAUAAUUGGAUGCAACAAUAUGAGGGUGCUGCUGACGCAUGACAUGUUGCUCCACCUCCCUCUCCUUCAAAAUAUUAUAGUCGAAAAAUGCAACGGAGUAGAAGUGAUAAUAGGCCAUGUUCCCAACAUGACGCACUCCUCCAUCUCGAACUUACCAUCCCUAUCUUUAGAUAAUCUUCCGGAGCUGAACAACAUAUGUGAUGGGACCAUGAGUUGUAUUUCAAUCCGAUAUAUUGAUAUAUCAAAAUGUCCGAAGCUGAAGAGGAUUUCUCUGCAGCUGCCCCAACAUGGCAAUGGCCUCCCUACUCCUCCCCGCUCUCUUGGAAGGAUUUUGAUAGAUCAGCAAACGUGGGACUCACUGGAGUGGGACCAUCCCCUUGCUCGUUCUUCACUUCAACACUUAGUCCACUUUCAUGGUAAGUCCCCCCAAUUUUACAUUUCUUUUAUACUAACUGAUAAAAUUCCGUAGUACGGUAAAAUUCAUUUUUUUCCCAAACUUUAGAUGAACUGUUAGGCCUAAUCCGUAUGACUUUUCUUUCAACUGGAAAGUCUAUCAAAAUGGUUAUCUAAUUAUUGAAACUUGGGUAAAGCGAAAACUCACUUCAAUUUCAAAGAAUAUUACUAGCAACAGUGCUUGCUCUUUUUCUCCUAUUGUACCUUAAAAGUACUACACUUCUUCAUAUUGGUGAAUUAUGACAUUCUAAAAGUGCCAAAAUAUGCGGUCAAUUCUUCUUCUUCUUUUUUGCCCUUUAUAUGAAUUGGGUCAAUUCUUAAGUUCUACUUUAUGAAUUGAUAGAGUUUUUUGGACCUAAUUAAGUCCUUAAACUGCUUCAUUUGAGGUUUCGUCCAAAUCUCGAGAUCUCUCAGAUGUAAAACACUAGAGGGUAUUUCCUUUGACCAGAGAAGAAAAAUAUAUGAUGGGACCCAAUCGUGGGUAGCUGCACUGCAUUAAAAUCUCUCUUUCAUCGCCAAGGUUGAGGGUUCGAAACUUGCCGUUGCUGAAGCGUUGUAAGUCAGGGGCCAUAAUAUUAGGGUCUUGUGCUAGUCUCCCCCGAGGUAUAGGAGUCAGGCUCGACAUCACCACCAAGCGCGGCGAGUCGGAACUCCAACGUCCGAAUUUGGUCCACAUACGUACAGCUUUGCGUAUCUCUUCAAGGCUUCACACGGCUUCGCACGGCUUCUCCAGCGGACGUGGGAGUCGCUGGAGUGGGAUGAUCCUCGGGCCUGUUCUUCACUUCAACACUUGGUCAAAUUUUAUGACUGUUGAAGCCAGAGAUGAUCCCGCUGGGGAUGAAUGCCAGCCAGUGGACAUCAGGUUUAUCGCCAUUGUUACAUUGUCCUGCUCGAUUGACCUCUGGUUCUUGUGAUGACAUAGAGCCUUUAUUUGUUCAUGUAUUUCUCGAUUUGUUUUCCCUACUUCUUACUUACCUUUUGUUUUCGUUGCUUGAAUAGAUUCCCUCUCAAGUUUCUCCCGGAUAUACCAUAGUAGGUUUCAUUUUAGAGUGACCAACUUGCAGAUGCCUAGUGUAUCUAUUUUGCAUGUGCAUUAAAUGAUUAGAUUCAUUGACAUGGCUCCACUUAUGGUACCUUUGUUAAGAUGAUGAUUCUACAUAGCGUGAUGUUUACUUCAUUAGAUCCAA